This 466-nucleotide ribosomal RNA is filed under the name uncultured bacterium. RNAcentral describes it as "partial 16S ribosomal RNA". It matches the Rfam family "Bacterial small subunit ribosomal RNA", at positions 29 to 506 of the family's 1533-position model. The record is from RNAcentral.
ACGCACGCUGGCGGCGUGCUUAACACCUGCAAGUCGAACGGAAAGGCCCUGCUUUUGUGGGGUGCUCGAGUGGCGAACGGGUGAGUAACACGUGAGUAACCUGCCCUUGACUUUGGGAUAACUUCAGGAAACUGGGGCUAAUACCGGAUAGGAGCUCCUGCUGCAUGGUGGGGGUUGGAAAGUUUCGUCGGUUGGGGAUGGACUCGCGGCUUAUCAGCUUGUUGGUGGGGUAGUGGCUUACCAAGGCUUUGACGGGUAGCCGGCCUGAGAGGGUGACCGGCCACAUUGGGACUGAGAUACGGCCCAGACUCCUACGGGAGGCAGCAGUGGGGAAUAUUGCACAAUGGGCGGAAGCCUGAUGCAGCAACGCCGCGUGCGGGAUGACGGCCUUCGGGUUGUAAACCGCUUUCGCCUGUGACGAAGCGUGAGUGACGGUAAUGGGUAAAGAAGCACCGGCGAACUACGU